AAUUGAGCCUGACCAGAUAUAGACCAAUCAAGAACAGGAGAGAGAAACAGUCAACAAAAAGGAAAAAGGAAGCUCGAAACCUCCUCUUCUCGAUCGCAGACUACGAUUUCCCCCUCCCUUUUUCCGAUCAGAUUUUCGGCCACAAAACCGACGAAGCUAGGUGGCGAUCGACUUCCUGGACACUGGCGACCUCAGUUCCGGCCUCCCUUUCGCCGAUUGGAGCUUGAUUAGGACUAACAGAUGCUCUCUCUCUUGUGGUGACACUAGCCUCCUCCGACCCGCUUUUCCGACUUUCGGCGAGCCCCAAUCGGCAAGACUGCUAUUGGGAUGCUCCUCUCUUGGCGCUGACUAUUUCCUUCUCACUGAACAAACCUCCAAUAGCGCAAAUCGAAUCUGUAACGAUUAGAUAGCUUCCCUGCUUCGAUUUUCCGGCAAGCCAAGCUCUUUCCGGUAGUUUCUUUCACUAAGGAAUCUUGGUUACUGCCUCUAUAUUAGCCAGAAGCUCUGUAUCCUUUCAUCUUUAGAGCUAGGUGGAAUAAAGUUUAGUUGAAUUAUACUCUUCUUAACUGAAUUUUCUUAUUAUUGUAUAUUUUGUAGAGCUCCGCAAUUACAUUAGGAAAGUAAUAUAUGUAAUAAGAUAUCCAAAAAUAUCUGAUCUCCAGGAAUAAUUAUUUGAAAAUUGUGAAUGAAACUUAGUGCUGAAUAUUGUCAGGCAA
Long non-coding RNA from Jatropha curcas, 716 nucleotides. RefSeq lists it as uncharacterized. NCBI's taxonomy places the organism in Eukaryota, Viridiplantae, Streptophyta, Magnoliopsida, Malpighiales, Euphorbiaceae. The record is from RefSeq and is a predicted model, not a curated record.